This 1087-nucleotide long non-coding RNA is filed under the name Bemisia tabaci. RNAcentral's name for it is "lncRNA ENSSSA3NGG004795". Lineage: Eukaryota; Metazoa; Arthropoda; Insecta; Hemiptera; Aleyrodidae. The record is from RNAcentral.
CCCUAUCUUUGCAUGGCGAGUUUGUCUUGAUGUAGACGUGGACUCUCAGGGUAGGGUGGGAUAUCCCCUCCAUUUUGGCCUUAACUUGAGAGCUUUUUUUGAGCUUGGGAGUUGAUUUCAGAGAAAACCAGUGGCACCAUCGUGUUUCUCGCCAACUUUUACAUAAGAAUCAACAGUCAAAUCACAAAUUCCUCACACAUGCAACAUCUCCAUUUCUCCAUUGCCUCCUGUAUGUCCAUUAUCUAACCAUAUGUCUUACUUUUAUGUCCAUGUGCAAGAUCCCAGAUAUUGGGAUGACGGAACCGACCCAGGCCCACAAGCCCCAGCCUAUGGGACCGCACAAGCCCCAGCCUAUGGGACCGCACCAUCCCUGGGUUACCCGGGCUCCUCCCCCACACAAAAGGGAUCCUCAACAAGGGCGUGGCAAGGUCCGAUUCGCCCGCGACGAGAUCUCUGCCAACCGGGACUACAAGGGGCCUUCCGAAACUUAUAAUGGAGACUCCACCUGCAUCUCCUCUUCGGCUGAGUCCUCAGCGGAGUCCUCAAAAUCGUAGAUUUAGCAAUGGUGGAAGUCUCACACGGGACGACAACCCAUAUGCCGCACAGACGGACAGUGCUGCAGCUUACGGCGCUAAAGGACGGCGAAAGACCAUGGAGGACAGAUUUGCUAUCGAAGAGACUCUGAAAAAACAAUACGGUGUCUCAAUUUACGCGGUUUUUGAUGGACACGGUGGAGAUGCUACUUCAGAAUGGGCAAAGGUGCACUUAAUUUCAGGGUUAAAAGAUCGACUUCAGAAUGAGAAGUACUUACAAACACGAUCGUCAAGAAGAGUAAUUGACUAUAAAAAUAUCCUUGAGGAACUUCUUGAAGAUAUGGAUUUCGACUACUGUGCGGAGCAGCGUAGGCAGCAGCAGGUGAAGGAGCAGUUAAGGGAGUCUAGGAGGUCGUCCGUGGCGCUGCUGGGAUGCAACAGAACAGACAGGUGCAGCGGCAAACAAAAAUAGACGAUCGGGUAACUCAAGAUUAUUUUAGUUAUGUCAAAUUUCUCUUUCAGCAUGCAUUAACGGCUAAAUUCGAGGAAAGAGU